UUGUGGCAUUGACCUCUAUAAUACCUGAAGAAUCGUCAUGCCUUCAGUAAUUCUCAAAUAUAUCGAUACCUAGGCGUUGAAACUUAUAAAAUGUAUUAUUUUUCGAAAGAAAAUGAAUUUCUAAAUCCAUUAAGUAUAAGUAGGUAUAUAGUAUAAGUAGGUAGGUCCAUUAAGUAGGUACUAAUAGAGGUCAAUGACUUGUGGUGAUGACCAAUGCAAUGACGAAGUUGUACUUUAAAGUGAUUUAAUUCGAGAAGAAAGGACAAUGCAGCUUGUCUUCCACGUUGGUGGCAGGGCUUGCCCGGCUGACCGAUGCAUUGGCAAUGGUUGGUACAGCUCACCUGGGGCGGCGGUGGCAGCAUUCGCCGUAUCCGAUCAUCUCCUAGUCUUGGAGCGCCGUGCAUGGGAGGUGCACCGGCCGGCAGCAUGGACCCGGUGCAGUUAGCCUAGCUCGGCCAGUCGGCCCAGCUUGUUCUCUCCCGGGCCGCGGUCCGACGUCGAGCGAGCUUAGGCGGGCCGGUCACAUGCUGCAGCUACAGAGCCGAGAUGGUGGACCUCGUCGCAGCGCUGCGCGAGCUGCUGGACCACUCAGAGGAUGAGCAGGGGGACCCACUAGUCAUCUGCCAAACUACGGAGUACGGACAGCCAGCCGGCCCUUUGCUCGAGACCGGCGACACAGCAGUGAAUACUCGAAGUUGCAGUGUGGCAGUCCCUGCUUGCGCGGGGAGAAAGAUGACCGGAUUCACAACGCCGGUUCCGGUGCGGGCUGUAGGGUAAUAAGCGUGCCGACAGUCGACACACUAGCCAAGGAGGCGGCACAGUUACCGCAGGGGCCGACCAUGCUGGACGUAUGUUCGCACGGUACACCGAACAGCCGUAAGAACAGCGCGGCCGAUGGCGAAAUGGCCCGAGGGCUGGUACGCGGACGCGGCCACGGCGGGCGAUACGUGCAGUGUAGGCCCAGGGCUGCGGUCGGAGUCGGAGUCGGAGUCGGUCGGAGUCGACAGUUGUGACCGGAGUCGGAGUCGGAGUCGGAGUCGAUUUUAGAAACCCGAGCCGGAGUCGGAGUCACCGAAAAUCUGUCGACUCCGCAGCCCUGCUAGGUCUGCGGAGUCGGAGUCGGGAGUUGGAGUCGGUCGGAGUCGACAAUUCUGCCCGGAGUCGGAGUCGGAGUCGGAGCUGGUUUUUGAAAGUCGGAGUCAGAGUCGGAGUCGGAGUCGCCGUAAAUCCAUCGACUCCGCAGCCCUGUGUAGCAGCUUCACGUCCUGACACGCCGCGCUGCACUGAUGUUACUACCAGCAAGACUGUCCAGUGAUCUUCUGAAGAAGUUGAACCGCAAACACCGUUGGCCGCUUUUGACGCUAUCUAUACUACAGAGACCCAUUCCGGCUCCGAAAUGUUCAUGCAGACUCGUGGACGACAGUCCGGUGGUGUCCUGUGGACGAAGAUAGCAAAGCAUCUACGUGGAUGGCGCGCUGGGCGGCUCGUCCGUCGCGUCACAAGACUGUGGCCUCUCUGCGCGUCACAAGACUUUUGUGUGUGGCCUCUCUGCGUGCCGCAAGACCAGGUGGACUCGCCGCUGCGUUGGCUAUGGCGGGGGCCGGCGGCGGUGUGCAACACGACUGCUGUGUGGCUUCUCAGUCUGCGUGCCUCGCCGCUGCGCUGGCUGUGGCGGGAGCCGGCGGCGGCGGUGCUCUGCGAAAUACCAACUGGAGCGGUCGAGCGAAUGACUCAAGGCUUCCGGACGUCAUCGGGGAUCCUGGACAUGGCUUUGCAAAUCAUGCAGAUCAGAUCUGCGCUUCCUAUCGAGUCUUGCCCCUGCGGAGGCGAUGCGGCGCCAAGCCGCCGAGGCGUCCUGACCGGCGGGCUUGUCACCCAAAGUUUAACGGAGGCAUGGUGGCGCUAAGGACGGUCGGCGCGGCACGGUCUGUCACGGGAUUGACAGUGUUGCAUGGAGUGAACCCUUUGGUGGAAAUAGGGUGCUGGUCGGGGUGAUAACCUAACUUUGAAUGAGAUAGUUGCGAGGAUGAUCAGAUGAUAGAUAAGAGCGGGAAGCGGGGAGGAAUUACACCGGUGCUAGGUUAAGUUCGUUAUGAUCAAAGUAUAACUGUGAUAAUUGUACGAUUCAUUUGCUGUGCAGUUGGUCAUUGUGACGUUCAUCCCCCCUUUCCCGUAGCCGUAUGUAUGAGAACGAUAGUUCCGGUGAGUUUUAACUAACAUUCGUUAUCUAUCAUGAUGGAUGUAUUUGUUUGGCGGACUUGUCUGUACUUUAAACACGACCUGUGUGCUUCCCCUACCGCGAUAUUACUGAUAUACCUAUUCGAAUGCCAUGAAUUUCACGCAUCAGACGUAACUGUGGUGACUUUAUUGUGAACAUAAGUGAGUACGAUUGGCGGGCAACACAUCCCCACUAUAUAGUUUUGGUGACCAAUGAUCAUUCAUAUUCGUGAUCGUGGUAACCUCGGUAAUUUGCCGUUUGUGAGACUGUUCGGCGCGGUGAGAGCUGUAUCUGCAGAGCUGAGUUCGGAGUUCGGACCGAGCAUGUUGGUUCUGCGCUGUUGGUUGCUACUCUGUGCUCGUGGUAAAUUCACAUCAUUUAUAAUUGAAUGACAACUCAAGUUUCGCCUCAGUUUUGCGUGUGAGUGCUGAAGCUUAGUUCCGUUUUAAAUUCGUUAACGUGCGUUUUGUGCGCAUAUUUUAACCCGGACUUCUUGAAGUACUGAGAUGAAUAUACGAAUUGCUGGGA
This 2746-nucleotide long non-coding RNA is filed under the name Amphibalanus amphitrite. Its description in RNAcentral is "uncharacterized LOC122367985, transcript variant X2". The record is from RNAcentral. Lineage: Eukaryota; Metazoa; Arthropoda; Thecostraca; Balanomorpha; Balanidae.